Molecule: unclassified non-coding RNA, 1592 nt
Filed under: Hevea brasiliensis (rubber tree)
Lineage: Eukaryota; Viridiplantae; Streptophyta; Magnoliopsida; Malpighiales; Euphorbiaceae
Source: RNAcentral
GGCAAAAGCAAGUAAAAGGAAGUGUGUAUCCGCUUAGCUACUACAGGUGCACACAUCCAAAUUGUUUAGUGACAAAGAAGGUUGUAAGAUCAUUGGAUGGGUAUAUUGCAGAAAUUGUCUACGGGGGUGAACACAACCAUCCAAUGUUAGGAGUUCUUGGUCCAGUCAAUUUCUGUUAAAAUAAAGUCCUAUUCUUCAGGAAGUCCUAUUCUUUUGGGACUGUUAGGAUUUAUCUGCUGUUAUUUUUUUUUUUCAACAAUUUUACGUUAUUUGUGUUUAUCUAUCUUUUGUAAGGCUAUAUAUUGUCAUGUCUAAUUUCAAUAAGAUUAUCACUUUGAAAUCCAAUUGUUUAUGUUUCUGGUUUAGUUAUUUUACUGUAAGACUCUACAAUUGGUAUCAGAGCCCCCACUGGGUUUUGAAAAAAAGGGAAGUAGCAAGCUUCGAGUGAUCAAACACAGAGAGUAUGAGUGAAGAUAAAACUCUAACAAAAAUUCCUCACUUCGACGGUCACUAUGAUCAUUGGAGUGAACUGAUGGAAAAUUUGCUUAGAGCAAAGGGUCUGUGGAGUUUAGUGGAAAUUGGUUUUACAGAACCAAUAGAAGGAACGAUACUAACUGAGGCACAACGGGAGCAGUUCGAUGAUGCUAGACUCAAAGAUCACCAAGUCAAGCAUUACCUCUUUCAAGCGAUUGAUCGAACUGUCUUUGAGCAAAUCUUGGACCGUCGCACAGCCAAGAGUGUUUGGGACUCACUGAAACGGAAGUUUGGUGGGAAUCUAAAGGUGAAGAAAUCUCUUCUUAAUGCACUAAGGAGAGAGUUUGAGGUUCUAGAGAUGAAGAAGGAUGAAACCAUCACUGAUUACUUUGCAAGAGUAAUGAUGGUCUCCAAUAAGAUGAGGAGCAAUGGAGAAGAAAUGUCAGACAAGAAAAUUGUAGAGAAAAUCCUACGUACUCUAACUGACAAAUUUACAUAUGUUGUAGUGUCCAUCGAAGAAUCAAAGGAUACUGAUACUAUGUGCAUUGAUGAGUUACAGAGUUCGUUAGUGGUGCAUGAAGAGAAAUUUCGACGUCCUAGCAACAAUGAUGAGGAUCAAGUGCUGAAUGUUGUAGGUCGAUCAAGUACAAAUAAGAGAGGAAGAGGAACUUACAGAGGAAGAGGGCGUGGAAGAGGGAGAACAAAUUUCAACAAAGCAAGUGUUGAAUGUUAUAAGUGUCACGACUUAGGACAUUUUCAGUAUGAAUGUCCAAAGUGGAAAAAUGAAGCAAAUUAUGCCGAGCUCGACGAAGAAGAUGAGUUGCUGCUAAUGGCCUAUGUAGAACUCCAUGAAGCAAAAAGAAGUGACACAUGGUUCUUAGACUCGGGUUGCUCAAAUCACAUGUGUGGUAAUAAAAGUAUGUUUUCAAGCUUAGACACAACUUUCACUCAUAGUGUCAAACUUGGAAAUAAUACAAGAAUGAAAGUGUCUGGAAAAGGUACUGUGAAAUUGAUUUUACAGGGAAAUUGUUAAACCAUUGGAGAAGUAUAUUGGGCACCUGAACUCAAAAAUAAUCAUUUGAGUGUUGGACAAACUUCAAGAAAAGGGAGUAGCAGUG